UACGGAGGGUGCAAGCGUUUCUCGGAAUCACUGGGCGUAAAGAGCGUGUAGGCGGUUUCGUAUGUCUGGCGUGAAAGCCCCGGGCUCACCCCGGGAACUGCGCUGGAAACUGCGAGACUAGAGUCCCGGAGAGGAAGGUGGAAUUCCAGGUGGAGCGGUGAAAUGCGUAGAUAUUUGGAAGAACACCGGUGGCGAAGGCGGCCUUCUGGACGGUGACUGACGCUGAGACGCGAAAGCGUGGGGAGCAAACAGG
This 253-nucleotide ribosomal RNA is filed under the name uncultured bacterium. RNAcentral describes it as "partial 16S ribosomal RNA". It matches the Rfam family "Bacterial small subunit ribosomal RNA", at positions 524 to 776 of the family's 1533-position model. The record is from RNAcentral.